CAAGUCUUAUCGGUGGGAUCACUUCGGUUUCGUAAGUUUCGAUGAAAAACGGGGGCAAAAACCGUUAUUUUGGCCGUGAAUUGCAAGACAUAUUGAACCGCUAAAAUUUUUGAAACGCAAAUGGCACUAUCAGGGUUUUAUAUCUUGAUAGUAUGUUUGGGUUUGAGGGUCGAU
RNAcentral lists this ribosomal RNA (174 nucleotides) under Steinernema thanhi. RNAcentral's name for it is "5.8S ribosomal RNA". It matches the Rfam family "5.8S ribosomal RNA". Rfam says of the family: 5.8S ribosomal RNA (5.8S rRNA) is a component of the large subunit of the eukaryotic ribosome. It is transcribed by RNA polymerase I as part of the 45S precursor that also contains 18S and 28S rRNA. Lineage: Eukaryota; Metazoa; Nematoda; Chromadorea; Rhabditida; Steinernematidae. The record is from RNAcentral.